UAUACCUUCUAAAAUAAAACCUGUCUUGUGUCACAAGUCGAGUGACUCAUUAAAUGAAAGCAAGUAGUUUAUUUCAAGUACUUCUUUUCUUUCUCGCAAUGGCUUGCCUGCAAUAUGGUAGGAAUACUCUCCGGCAACAGCUGAAGAAUGUGAAAACCUCAGCAGCUAUGUUCCACAAGUGCGAAGGUGGAGAAGUACAUUUAAACCAUCCACUAUUUUACACCGCCCAAGGUGUUCGAUACAGAAAACUACAUGUCACUGUCACUACUACAAUGUCGUACCAAUGGCCUCCAGAUUCUCGAUAUCACGUCGUUUACUAUUUGAUUGAUUCAUUUUGAACUGAACCUUUUGGAAUUGCGACUUGAUUCUUGUUCAAUAUUGCGUUUCGAUAAGCAGAGCAUAUACACGCUUGGAAAAGCAGAGCAAACUGUGAGGCAUCAGCGAAAGAUUUAUCAAUGUGAAAAAGUUGAAGAGGUUAAAAUAGUUCCAGCUCCCAAGAAAGAUGACAUGUUGGUGCUAAGUAAGCAUACGAAGAAAUCGUUGGCGAAAGUUGACAGUGGUAGAAUCAUUUCCAGUGACGAACCUAUUGGAAAUGAUGUAACCGUGGCCGAGUGGCAGCUACAAUGCAACUUCAUUUUUUAAUAAUGGGCGGCACAUCACCCAUCGAGCUUUAUACUGUGCACCAGUGGCCCUCGGGGAUUUCUCAUUAUGGCGUUCGUGGCUAGACAAGUUGAUGCAUUCCUGUCAGAAGCUGAUGCAGGUAGCUAGGGUCAUCAACAAGAGCUUCGUUGAUACCAAUUGCGAUUCCAGUCAGCUUUGGUGAGCCUUCUUAUACUCCGGAGGACUUCACCUUUGUCUUACAGUUAGUAGUUUUGAGAUGUCGUGGUUCUUACCCCGAUAACCUUCUAUAAUAAUAGAGGCUUCAUUGAUAGAGAGUAGAGUUUGAGAAGUCUGUUAUAUUUAUCUUGUUAAAUGUUUUAAAGACUUGAGUUGUUUAUA
This is an RNA transcript of Solanum pennellii, 999 nucleotides long. RefSeq lists it as uncharacterized. The record is from RefSeq and is a predicted model, not a curated record. Lineage: Eukaryota; Viridiplantae; Streptophyta; Magnoliopsida; Solanales; Solanaceae. The transcript has 8 exons.